This 623-nucleotide long non-coding RNA is filed under the name Dermacentor andersoni. RNAcentral's name for it is "uncharacterized LOC126521888". Lineage: Eukaryota; Metazoa; Arthropoda; Arachnida; Ixodida; Ixodidae. The record is from RNAcentral.
GCUCUGCUUGCCUGUUGCUCAUCUACUCGGCGCCGCUGAACGAUAACGCCUAAGCCGUAAGCUAUUAGUUUCUGUGCUGUUGUGAGGUAUUUUGUCGACAAAGAUGCAUUGUAGGUGGCCGAUUUCCAUUUUUGUAGCACUGGCUGUCGGACUACAUGCUAUCGUGGUUACGAAUUGUACCAAAAGUGAUGUUUAUGUCCGCACAAAUAAUGGUUCUUGUCUUUACCAUAACUUGACCGUAGAAGAUAAAAACCACGUGACAUUGAAAUGGCCUUGCGCAAGAGUUUAUUGUAGUGUGACAUAUGGCAUGGUUACAGUAUAUGGGUGCCCCCUUGAGGAUUAUUAUACUAAAAGUAUACUACAAUAUCCGGGCGAUGAGUGGCCUUUCUGCUGCGCAAGACGGAAGCACUUAAUUAUACAUGAAACGACAACAACAACUACCACACCAGAGCCUACUACGACUACUACUGCAUCGACAACAACAACUACUACCACAGAGCUUACUACAACUAGUACUGAAUCGACAACUGCCACAGAGCGUACUACGACUAGUAGUGAACCGACAACAACUUCAGCAACUGCCACACCAGAGCCUGCUAAUGAUGUAGGUGAUAUGUAAACUC